This 468-nucleotide ribosomal RNA is filed under the name uncultured bacterium. RNAcentral describes it as "partial 16S ribosomal RNA". It matches the Rfam family "Bacterial small subunit ribosomal RNA", at positions 28 to 507 of the family's 1533-position model. The record is from RNAcentral.
GACGAACGCUGGCGGCGUGCUUAACACAUGCAAGUCGAACGGAAAGGCCCUGCUUUUGUGGGGUGCUCGAGUGGCGAACGGGUGAGUAACACGUGAGUAACCUGCCCUUUACUUUGGGAUAACUUCAGGAAACUGUGGCUAAUACCUGAUAGGAGCUCCUGCUGCCUGGUGGGGUUUGGAAAGUUUCGGCGGUUGGGGAUGGACUCGCGGCUUAUCAGCUUGUUGGUGGGGUAGUGGCUUACCAAGGCUUUGACGGGUAGCCGGCCUGAGAGGGUGACCGGCCACAUGGGGACUGAGAGACGGCCCAGAGGGGUACGGGAGGCAGCAGGGGGGAGUAUUGCACAGUGGGCGGGAGCGUGAGGCAGCAACGCCGCGGGCGGGAUGAAGGCCUUCGGGGUGUAAACCGCUUUCGCCUGUGACGAAGCGUGAGUGACGGUAAUGGGUAAAGAAGCACCGGCUAACUACGUG